CACCGCGGUUAGACGAAGGGCCCAAGUUGAUGAAAUUCGGCGUAAAGGGUGGUUAGUGCUCACAGCAACUAAAGCUAAACGCCUUUGCAACCGUAUAAAGUCCAUCAAGGACAGAGACCCUUCGACGAAAGUAGCUUUAAUUCACACGACUCCACGAAAACUAAGGGA
RNAcentral lists this ribosomal RNA (168 nucleotides) under Eviota fasciola. RNAcentral's name for it is "partial 12S rRNA". Lineage: Eukaryota; Metazoa; Chordata; Actinopteri; Gobiiformes; Gobiidae. The record is from RNAcentral.